RNAcentral lists this transfer RNA (90 nucleotides) under Planctomycetota bacterium. Its description in RNAcentral is "Planctomycetes bacterium (bioreactor metagenome) tRNA-Ser". It matches the Rfam family "tRNA". Rfam says of the family: Transfer RNA (tRNA) molecules are approximately 80 nucleotides in length. Their secondary structure includes four short double-helical elements and three loops (D, anti-codon, and T loops). The record is from RNAcentral. Lineage: Bacteria; Pseudomonadati; Planctomycetota.
GGAGAGUUGCCUGAGCGGCUGAAAGGGCCGGUUUCGAAAACCGGUGUGCGAGCAAUCGUACCGGGGGUUCGAAUCCCUCACUCUCCGCCA